CAUAUCAAUAAGCGGAGGAAAAGAAACCAACAGGGAUUGCCCCAGUAACGGCGAGUGAAGCGGCAACAGCUCAAAUUUGAAAUCUGGCCCUCGGGUCCGAGUUGUAAUUUGUAGAGGAUGCUUUUGGCAAGGUGCCUUCCGAGUUCCCUGGAACGGGACGCCAUAGAGGGUGAGAGCCCCGUCUGGUCGGACACCGCGCCUCUGUAAAGCUCCUUCGACGAGUCGAGUAGUUUGGGAAUGCUGCUCUAAAUGGGAGGUAUAUGUCUUCUAAAGCUAAAUACCGGCCAGAGACCGAUAGCGCACAAGUAGAGUGAUCGAAAGAUGAAAAGCACUUUGAAAAGAGAGUUAAAAAGCACGUGAAAUUGUUGAAAGGGAAGCGAUUAUGACCAGACUUGGGCCUGUUUGAUCAGCUUGGGUUCUCCCGGGUGCACUCUCUCAGGCUCAGGCCAGCAUCAGUUCGUCGCGGGGGACAAAGGUCGCGGGAAUGUAGCUCCCCUCGGGGAGUGUUAUAGCUCGCUUCGCAAUACCCUGCCUCGGACUGAGGUUCGCGCAUCUUGCAAGGAUGCUGGCGUAAUGGUCAUCAUCGAC
RNAcentral lists this ribosomal RNA (588 nucleotides) under Cylindrocarpon sp. ATCC MYA-283. RNAcentral's name for it is "eukaryotic LSU rRNA". It matches the Rfam family "Eukaryotic large subunit ribosomal RNA", at positions 39 to 648 of the family's 3401-position model. Lineage: Eukaryota; Fungi; Ascomycota; Sordariomycetes; Hypocreales; Nectriaceae. The record is from RNAcentral.